RNAcentral lists this long non-coding RNA (409 nucleotides) under Eutrema salsugineum. Its description in RNAcentral is "long non-coding RNA (ESAL_LNC000653)". The record is from RNAcentral. Lineage: Eukaryota; Viridiplantae; Streptophyta; Magnoliopsida; Brassicales; Brassicaceae.
CAGAUUGGGAAAGGAUCUUCCCUCAAAUACGGACACUGGGCUCCUAAAGUGUGCUGUAUGCCAAAUAGAUCAAUCUCCAGCUGAAGAUCUAUUAAGUGACGAGGGUCCUAUCAUCUCCUCAGCAUCUAAGCGAUGGGAAGGCCCCUUCCUAUGCACAAUAUGCAAGAAAAAGAAAGACGCCAUGGAAGGAAAAAGACCAAGCAAAGGAUCAGUGACCACUUAAAGCCUCACUAUUGUCUUGAAAUAAACCAUAAUUUUCUUAUCUUACCUUCUUCGGGUGUGCUGUGAGACGGCCUGGUUUUGUGUUAUUCCCCCAGGCAUUGAUUGGAGAAGUAGCAUUAAUAGUAAAAAUGUUUGCAAAUGUUUGUAGAGAGAGAGAGAGGGAGAGAGAGAAUAGAUCCAAUUCUUA